GACGAACGCUGGCGGCGUGCUUAACACAUGCAAGUCGAACGGAAAGGCCUGCUUUCCCUUGUGGAUUGCGGGUACUCGAGUGGCGAACGGGUGAGUAACACGUGAGUGAUCUGCCCCCAACUUGGGUAUAAGCCUGGGAAACUGGGUCUAAUUCCCGAUAGGACUGCAGGGUGGUGCCUGUGGUGGAAAACGAUUUUCUAGUGGUUGGGGAUGAGCUCGCGGCCUAUCAGCUUGUUGGUGGGGUGAUGGCCUACCAAGGCGGCGACGGGUAGCCGGCCUGAGAGGGUGGACGGCCACAUUGGGACUGAGAUACGGCCCAGACUCCUACGGGAGGCAGCAGUGGGGAAUAUUGCACAAUGGGCGGAAGCCUGAUGCAGCGACGCCGCGUGGGGGAUGACGGCCUUCGGGUUGUAAACUCCUUUCGACCGCGAGGAAGCCACCUGGUUGGAAGGGUGGUGACGGUAGUGGAAGAAGAAGCACCGGCUAACUACGUG
RNAcentral lists this ribosomal RNA (494 nucleotides) under uncultured bacterium. RNAcentral describes it as "partial 16S ribosomal RNA". It matches the Rfam family "Bacterial small subunit ribosomal RNA", at positions 28 to 507 of the family's 1533-position model. The record is from RNAcentral.